UAUUCCCCACUGCUGCCUCCCGUAGGAGUCUGGGCCGUGUCUCAGUCCCAAUGUGGCCGUUCAACCUCUCAGUCCGGCUACCGAUCGUCGCCUUGGUGGGCCGUUACCUCACCAACUAGCUAAUCGGACGCGAGUCCAUCUCUCAGCGAUAAAUCUUUGACAUACCGACCAUGCGGUCAAUAUGUGUUAUGCGGUAUUAGCGCUCUUUUCAGGGCGUUAUUCCCCACUGAGAGGCAGGUUACUCACGCGUUACUCACCCGUCCGCCACUAAGUUAAGCAAGGAAAUCCACUAGCAAGCUAGCAUCAAACCAGCGCUUAACUCCGUUCGACUUGCAUGUGUUAAGCACGCCGCCAGCGUUCAUCCUGAGCCAA
This 372-nucleotide ribosomal RNA is filed under the name uncultured rumen bacterium. Its description in RNAcentral is "partial 16S ribosomal RNA". The record is from RNAcentral.